CCUUCGAUAGCUCAGCUGGUAGAGCGGAGGACUGUAGGCUUAGAUCUCCCGGGAAUCCUUAGGUCGCUGGUUCAACUCCGGCUCGAAGGA
This 90-nucleotide transfer RNA is filed under the name Chelydra serpentina (North American snapping turtle). RNAcentral's name for it is "tRNA-Tyr". It matches the Rfam family "tRNA". From Rfam's summary of the family: Transfer RNA (tRNA) molecules are approximately 80 nucleotides in length. Their secondary structure includes four short double-helical elements and three loops (D, anti-codon, and T loops). Lineage: Eukaryota; Metazoa; Chordata; Testudines; Chelydridae. The record is from RNAcentral.